RNAcentral lists this ribosomal RNA (245 nucleotides) under uncultured Pseudomonadota bacterium. RNAcentral describes it as "uncultured proteobacterium partial 16S ribosomal RNA". It matches the Rfam family "Bacterial small subunit ribosomal RNA", at positions 524 to 768 of the family's 1533-position model. Lineage: Bacteria; Pseudomonadati; Pseudomonadota. The record is from RNAcentral.
UACGGGGGAUGCAAGCGUUGUCCGGAAUCAUUGGGCGUAAAGAGUUCGUAGGUGGUUUGUUAAGUUUGGUGUUAAAUCCAAAGUCUCAACUUUUGUAUGGCACUGGAUACUGGCAGACUAGAAUGCGGUAGAGGUAAAGGGAAUUCCUGGUGUAGCGGUGAAAUGCGUAGAUAUCAGGAGGAACAUCGGUGGCGUAAGCGCUUUACUGGGCCGUAAUUGACACUGAGGAACGAAAGCCGGGGUAG